This is a long non-coding RNA of Dreissena polymorpha, 2227 nucleotides long. RefSeq lists it as uncharacterized. Lineage: Eukaryota; Metazoa; Mollusca; Bivalvia; Myida; Dreissenidae. The record is from RefSeq and is a predicted model, not a curated record. The transcript is spliced from 5 exons.
UAUUUAAAUUGUGCAGUCAAAAGACGUAAAAAUGUAGUUAACAUAUAAUUUCCAAUGUUUUGAUAAAGGCAUUAUGCCGAAACGUCAAUUAAAGGAGUAUAAUCAGAGAGCCAACUUUUUUGUUUACAUACAUUUAACAUUUAUAUUUGUAGAGUAUUAUUUACACCAAUAUAAUACGUAAUGAAAAAGAAAUUAAUUAUUUCCAGACGAGCGGACAGGGAUGUUAACGGAAAUGACCGGAUAUGUAGCUGUCAUUUUGUAGAUGGCAAGAAAGCAAAUGGACAAACUAUUUUUGAUUACCAGAAGAAAGAUCUACAUUUCCCAGAAAUGUACACACCUAAAAGAUGCAAAAGGCCAAAGUUGAUGGAAAGGGAAGAUGUGAAAGAAAGCAUACCAGUAGAUGUCCCUACAAUUUCCCAGGACCAUAAUUAUCACACGCAUGACUACAGGUGACAUUGAUGCUUAACUACCAACAAAAUCUAUUCAAGAGUUAGAAAGGGAAAUAGCCCGUCUAGAGGGUGAACUUAGCCGAUUGAAAGUGCGCCCAUCCAAAAUGUCGGUUCAGGACAUUAUUGGUGACAAUGAUAAGAUGCUGUUAUACACAUCUUUUCCUGUCAUUGUCUUCCAAGUCCUGGUGGGUGUUCUGAAGAGGUUAGCUCCUUUCAACUACUAUGCUGGCUGGACUGUAACCUGCUUCAGCAUAGAGGAUCAACUCUUAAUCACCCUUAUGAAAUUACGUCUGAAUUGCACUCAGUUAUGCAAUUAUAACCAAAUUAUGUCGAUAUAUUUAUUGUAGUAGUAAUUUUAUAUAACUCUAUUUUUAUAUUGUUAUAAACAAUAUUUCGAAACUUUAGAUAAAUAAGUUUACAUUUUUACAUUAAUGUUAACCAGCUAAUGAGUUUCUAGUAAAAUAUUGUGCAUUGUUAAAAUGGUAGUUUUCCCAGAACGCUGCUCGCUUUAUUGUUAUUAACCCUUUGCAUGCUGGGAAAUUUGUCGUCUGCUAAAAUGUCUUCUGCUGAAUUUCUAAAAUUAGCAUUUUCUUCAUUUUUUUUUCAAAAAAUACUUUCAGAAUAGCAAACAGUUUGGAUCCUGAUGAGGCGCCACGUUUUGUGGCGUCUCAUCUGGAUCCAAACUGUUUGCAAAGGCCAUUAAAAUACGGUUCCAGCGCUGAAAGGGUUAAUCACUUGUUGUUCAGAACUCUAACUGCAGCUAUAACGUGAAGGGUACUUGCAGACUGAAAGAACAGUUUCUGCAUGAACAUGCAUGCCAUCAUAGAUGAUUAGUAUACCACUGCGAUCGGAAUAUGUCAGGGUUAACAUCAAUAGUAAUUACAGUACAAAUGCCAAGUAUCGUAGCACACCUGUUGUAUAAACAAGAUGAUGCUUGUGCUCGAAGAUUAAGUCAGACCUUUUCUGCAACCGAUCGAUACGUUUUCUGCUCAAUGGCAAUCGAUGCCAUUUUACGAUGGUUUCUUACAGGGAGCUAUCGCGUUGCUUUGUACGAGUAAAUGCAUUUCUUUAUGAUUGUUAGCAUGAUUUAUUAGGCACGGAAAGUGUAGUUAUGCGCUUGAGCUAUUAUACGGGCGAUUAUACGUUUACUCGAAUGCAUUUUAACUGUGUUCCUGUCGGAACAGAUUUGCGAUAUCCGGACAUACGAUCCGAAUAUCCGACGCACAUUUGAGACUUAAACGCCAAUAUGUAAACAUUGACAUUUGUAAAAUGAAGAGAAUAAAUAGGUCUAUAUAUUGAGUUUGGAUAAUUUAUCCGAAUGUAUGCGUAGUUGCGAAUUAACAAAACGAGUGAACAAGAGUGAAAGUAAACUACAAUACUUUCUAAUUGACCAUUUGGAUCGCAGUCAAUAUGUCCCCUGUUAGUGUCUAUUCCGAUGUCUGAUUAUAUGAUUUUAUAGCUGAUUACAAUGACCAUAACACACAUUUCAAAGUGGCUUAGCAAGUUGUAAUUGUCUGUUGAUCUGGAAAAUCUAAAACCAUUGCGUAAUGUAGGUAUUAUGAUUCGAUAUUCUGUUGUAUUGUUAUCUAAUCUGAAUCGCAUGCUUUUAUGUCAAUUUUUAUUUACAAUUAACAGGCUUUUUUAACGGCGGUGACCCGUGUUUUAUCAUUUUCAUGUUUUCAUGUGAGAAUUUUUUUUGGGUUACUGCAUGUUUUGUUGUGGAUGCAUUUUUACAAAAUAAAUACUUUCGGUUGGUAACUGGAGUUUCCUUCCUGUUG